UGAACGCUGGCGGCAUGCCUAACACAUGCAAGUCGAACGAAUGAAUCUGGUUCGCCAGAUUCGUGAGUGGCAGACGGGUGAGUAAUACAUAGGAAUCUGCCUUGUAGUGGGGAAUAACUGUUGGAAGCAACAGCUAAUACCCCCAUAUUGCCGAGAGGUGAAAGAUUUAUCGCUACAAGAUGAGCCUAUGCAAGAUUAGCUAGUUGGUGGGGUAAAGGCCUACCAAGGCUGUGAUCUUUAGUUGGUCUGAGAGGAUGAUCAGCCACACUGGAACUGAGACACGGUCCAGACUCCUACGGGAGGCAGCAGUGGGGAAUAUUUGACAAUGGGCGAAAGCCUGAUCGAGCAAUGCCGCGUGAGUGAUGAAGGCCUUAGGGUUGUAAAGCUCUUUUAGUAGCUAAGAUAAUGACUCGCUAC
Molecule: ribosomal RNA, 417 nt
Filed under: uncultured bacterium
Lineage: Bacteria
Description: bacterial SSU rRNA
Rfam family: Bacterial small subunit ribosomal RNA
Source: RNAcentral